UAGGGUUUGCAUUUUUUGUCAAAAAUAUAUUGAAAGUUCAAAAAGUUUUUUCUAAAAGAUAGGGGGCUCCACCCCUUCACUCUUCCUCAUCUUUUGGAUUUCUUCUUUGAAAAGCACUGUCACAGGUUUUACGAAUCAUUUAAGACUUCUAGCUAAAUAGAGUGGGCUUUGUAAUGGAGUUUGUAGAGAUUCAAAUUGGAGCUCAGAGUUGAUUAUAGUUUCAGAAGUUACAGAAGAAGACAUUGAAUCCACUCCUCUCUUUGAGGUUUCAGUUGAACUUGACGCAAAUCUCUCUUCUUUUUUUUCUGCAAAUUGCUUGCAAUUGGGAAGAUGAGAGCAGCAUGCUGGGGUGAAAGGAAAAGCUAUUUGUGAUAGUUUUUCUUCUUUCUGGGAUAAGAUUUUUAAUUCAUAAGGUAACAUUCAUUCCAUUAUCUUUAUUUCAUAUUAUCUGUUGAGUUCUGAUUCUCAACUUUUGUAAUCUUUGAUGCCAACUUUUGCACCUCUCAAUGAGCCAUCAACUAUGUAAGAUCAUCACAAGUUUGGCUUAGGUAACAAAUUGGCAAGUGUUUGUACAUUCUUUUUCUUUCUUAUUUUUGGUAAUAGUUCAAAUUGGCAGGUGUACAUUCAUCAAACAUUUGUGCUUCCAAUUUUUGUUGGAAGCAGCAUUCAAGAGGAUCAAUAUUUACCUCCUACUUCUGCAUGCGUGAGGUAUUCUGUAGCUGCUGCAAUAGCUCUUGACCAGGCACACCAACAUUCAUUUGUAAAAUUUCAGCAUUUUAUAUGUAAUUUGUUCUAUUAUUUACUAAUCUUCUAUAUAUGUAAA
Non-coding RNA from Nelumbo nucifera (sacred lotus), 823 nucleotides. The record is from RefSeq and is a predicted model, not a curated record. Lineage: Eukaryota; Viridiplantae; Streptophyta; Magnoliopsida; Proteales; Nelumbonaceae.